GCACGAAAACUUUACACUGCGGGAAACCGCGAUAAGGGGACCCCGAGUGCCAGCACCUAGUGCUGGCUGUCCAGCUGUUCAAAAAACAGUUGUUAGCAAGGGCCGGGCAAGACCGGUGCCAGCCGCCGCGGUAACACCGGCGGCCCGAGUGGUAGCCGUUAUUAUUGGGUUUAAAGGGUCCGUAGCCGGCCUAUUAAGUCUCUUGGGAAAUCUGGCGACUCAAUCGUCAGGCGUUCAAGAGAUACUGGUAGGCUUGGGACCGGGAGAGGUGGGAGGUACUCCAGGGGUAGGGGUGAAAUCUCGUAAUCCUUGGGGGACCACCGGAUGGCGAAGGCAUCCCACCAGAACGGGUCCGACGGUGAGGGACGAAAGCUGGGGGCACGAACCGGAUUAGAUACCCGGGUAGUCCCAGCUGUAAACGAUGCUAGCUAGGUGUUGGGUCGGCCACGCGCCGCCCCAGUGCCGCAGGGAAGCCGUUAAGCUAGCCGCCUGGGGAGUACGGCCGCAAGGCUGAAACUUAAAGGAAUUGGCGGGGAGCACACCAGGCGUGAAGCCUGCGGUU
This 562-nucleotide ribosomal RNA is filed under the name uncultured Methanosarcinales archaeon. Its description in RNAcentral is "bacterial SSU rRNA". It matches the Rfam family "Archaeal small subunit ribosomal RNA", at positions 339 to 902 of the family's 1478-position model. Lineage: Archaea; Methanobacteriati; Methanobacteriota; Methanomicrobia; Methanosarcinales. The record is from RNAcentral.